RNAcentral lists this ribosomal RNA (465 nucleotides) under uncultured bacterium. RNAcentral describes it as "partial 16S ribosomal RNA". It matches the Rfam family "Bacterial small subunit ribosomal RNA", at positions 338 to 795 of the family's 1533-position model. The record is from RNAcentral.
CCUACGGGAGGCAGCAGUGGGGAAUUUUGGACAAUGGGCGCAAGCCUGAUCCAGCUAUUCCGCGUGUGGGAAGACGGCCUUCGGGUUGUAAACCACUUUUGUAGAGAACGAAAAGUCUAUUGAUAAUACCGAUAGAUGAUGACGGUACUCUACGAAUAAGCACCGGCUAACUACGUGCCAGCAGCCGCGGUAAUACGUAGGGUGCGAGCGUUAAUCGGAAUUACUGGGCGUAAAGGGUGUGCAGGCGGUUUUGCAAGAUGGAUGUGAAAGCCCCGGGCUUAACCUGGGAAAGCCAUACAUGACUGGAAGACUAGAGUGCGUCAGAGGGGGGUGGAAUUCCAAGUGUAGCAGUGAAAUGCGUAGAUAUUUGGAAGAACACCGAUGGCGAAGGCAGCCCCCUGGGACGCAACUGACGCUCAUACACGAAAGCGUGGGGAGCAAACAGGAUGAGAUACCCCUGUAGUC